UCGACUGAUUUCAAGAUAAGUUCAAUUUCGGAUAAUAAAAUUACAUAUUUACCACUAUAAUUUUCUUUAAUAGCCGAAUAUGUGUUAAACAGUUUCAAAAUUUACAAUAUUUGGCAAGGAAAACGAGAAGGGAAAUUGAGAGUAAAUCAAAAUAGAAUGUGAGAGAAUUUUACCACCAUUUUAUCCUUAAAUGCGAUCCGGAAUGCGACUAGUAUUUGGUCCAGUUAAGUCUUAGGCGGAAUUUGUGUUACGCCAUAAUCCACCUAAUGGCAAAUGGCAACUGGUCAUGGACGUGGUUCAUCCCUUUUGUUUUUAUACAUUUGCAGUAGUUAUUAGUAGAUGAAUGGCAUAUCAUGGAAUGGCAUGACUACGCCAUAUUUGCUCUAUGCAGUUCUGUUUUGUUUCAAGCAAUUUAACAGCUUUUGGCUAAAAUAACAAGAACCAGACUAACAAACACACACACACACACACACAGCAUUCUGACAACCAAAAAGUCAAGCCAAACAAUGCGCCAAUGAACUCAACUUGCUUCACCCCGCUACCUCUUCUUCUGGCUGUAUAUGGAGAUGGAGAUUGUGGAGAUGCAUAGGAAUAGAAAGACAACAGGAGGAGCAGGAGGAGUUUUCUGCAUAUUUCUGCAACACAAAAUAAACCGCAACAGCAGCAAUUUGCGUUGGUUAGUUUGGAGAGUUGCUUAUUUUUACAUGGACCCAUGGACUCACACACAUGACCAGAAAUGCGAUCUAUGGGCUCCAUUCACAUACACAUACAUACGCACAUAUACUCUACAGAUGAGUGUGUUUGUCUUUCAGUGUGUGGUGCUGCUCCCCAUAAUAAAAUAAAAUAUAUUUUUUAACAA
Drosophila willistoni is the source of this 859-nucleotide long non-coding RNA. RefSeq lists it as uncharacterized. Lineage: Eukaryota; Metazoa; Arthropoda; Insecta; Diptera; Drosophilidae. The record is from RefSeq and is a predicted model, not a curated record. The transcript has 2 exons.